This 312-nucleotide ribosomal RNA is filed under the name Rhipicephalus turanicus. RNAcentral describes it as "partial 12S ribosomal RNA". Lineage: Eukaryota; Metazoa; Arthropoda; Arachnida; Ixodida; Ixodidae. The record is from RNAcentral.
AUUAUGAAAGCAAAAAAUUAUGGCGGUAUUUUAAGCUUUUCAGAGGAAUUUGCUCUUUAAUGGAUAAAACACCUAAAUCUUACUUAAAUUUGUUAAUUCAAUUUGUAUACCACUAUAAAAACAAUUUAUAACUUUAAUUGUUUAAAUUUAUUAAAUUAAAAUAUAUUAAGUCAAGGUGCAGUAAAAAUUUAAGAAUGAAGUGAAUUACAUUACUCUUUAGAGAAAUAAAUUUAAAAUAAUAUUUAGGAUUUGAAAGUAAAAUUAAAAUAAAAUGUUGGUUUGAAUUAAGCUCUAAAAUAUGUACACAUCGCC